AAGGUCAUCUGCAAAUUACAGUAGAGAAAUCCCCAUCUUCAGAAUUAUAUGCAGAAUGUCCCCAAAUGAAGUGGAUUUAGAGCAGAGCGUAGAGUGGAACCUGCUUACAAAAUACCCACGACGUGGCUAGGAGUUGGUGUUCCAAAUGUGGAAGAUGACCUAUUCCUGCCCAGAGAGAAUACAGUUUAAAGACAAAGGCAGAUGAAGGGCAGGUGGAAAGGGAUAAAACAUAAAAGCAUAGUGAUCAGGAACUACUAUAUGCAGGAAGGAGUAAAUUCCAGCAGACUGGACUGCUCUAGCUUGGUUAUUUUAGACACAAAGUUAAAAUUUUAAGGAUAAUAUUAUCUAAUGCUGAAGUUUAUGCAUCAUCUUUGUAUGCUGUUGGCUGUAAU
Molecule: long non-coding RNA, 392 nt
Organism: Mauremys reevesii (Reeves's turtle)
Lineage: Eukaryota; Metazoa; Chordata; Testudines; Geoemydidae
Exons: 3
Source: RefSeq, a predicted model, not a curated record